Molecule: long non-coding RNA, 349 nt
Filed under: Eucalyptus grandis
Lineage: Eukaryota; Viridiplantae; Streptophyta; Magnoliopsida; Myrtales; Myrtaceae
Description: long non-coding RNA (EGRA_LNC006750)
Source: RNAcentral
AAUGAGUUGAAAGUCUGGCUUCAGCCCAGUGAUUAGGGAAGUACCUUAAGUGGUUAUGAUAUGAUAUCAUGUUCCUCUGGCAGUGGGGUCGAGGAAAGUGGAUCUCGUCCAUGUGGUGUCUACAAACAGUUAUGCUAGGCCACUGUCUACACUGCACAUACCUCUUUUUGUUGUACCAUAGUCUUCAUCGUAAGAAAGUGAGAACACACAAACACUGUCUCUCUCUCUCUCGCAAGUAUCCAGUGGCAUCUCUAGAGAUUUAUUUCAAGGCAAUAUUCAUUGUUGUUUUCCCUACAGCGUGUUGUGAUCGGAACUGAAAGAAAGUAUACGAACUUUCCUGAAACGAAAA